GACGAACGCUGGCGGCGUGCUUAACACAUGCAAGUCGAACGGAAAGGCCCUGCUUUUGUGGGGUGCUCGAGUGGCGAACGGGUGAGUAGCACGUGAGUAACCUGCCCUUGACUUUGGGAUAACUUCAGGAAACUGGGGCUAAUACCGGAUAGGAGCUCCUGCUGCAUGGUGGGGGUUGGAAAGUUUCGGCGGUUGGGGAUGGACUCGCGGCUUAUCAGCUUGUUGGUGGGGUAGUGGCUUACCAAGGCUUUGACGGGUAGCCGGCCUGAGAGGGUGACCGGCCACAUUGGGACUGAGAUACGGCCCAGACUCCUACGGGAGGCAGCAGUGGGGAAAAUUGCACAAUGGGCGGAAGCCUGAUGCAGCAACGCCGCGUGCGGGAUGACGGCCUUCGGGUUGUAAACCGCUUUCGCCUGUGACGAAGCGUGAGUGACGGUAAUGGGUAAAGAAGCACCGGCUAACUACGUG
Molecule: ribosomal RNA, 468 nt
Filed under: uncultured bacterium
Lineage: Bacteria
Description: partial 16S ribosomal RNA
Rfam family: Bacterial small subunit ribosomal RNA
Source: RNAcentral